Molecule: transfer RNA, 74 nt
Filed under: Caudoviricetes sp.
Lineage: Duplodnaviria; Heunggongvirae; Uroviricota; Caudoviricetes
Description: tRNA-Lys
Rfam family: tRNA
About the family: Transfer RNA (tRNA) molecules are approximately 80 nucleotides in length. Their secondary structure includes four short double-helical elements and three loops (D, anti-codon, and T loops). Further hydrogen bonds mediate the characteristic L-shaped molecular structure. tRNAs have two regions of fundamental functional importance: the anti-codon, which is responsible for specific mRNA codon recognition, and the 3' end, to which the tRNAs corresponding amino acid is attached (by aminoacyl-tRNA synthetases). tRNAs cope with the degeneracy of the genetic code in two manners: having more than one tRNA (with a specific anti-codon) for a particular amino acid; and 'wobble' base-pairing, i.e. permitting non-standard base-pairing at the 3rd anti-codon position.
Source: RNAcentral
CACUCCGUAGCUCAAUUGGUUAGAGCUUCGCACUUUUAAUGCGAAGGUUCUGGAUUCGAGUUCCAGCGGAGUGA